This 670-nucleotide long non-coding RNA is filed under the name Mus musculus (house mouse). RNAcentral's name for it is "long non-coding RNA chr1:183389061-183389731". The record is from RNAcentral. Lineage: Eukaryota; Metazoa; Chordata; Mammalia; Rodentia; Muridae.
GCCUUGCGCUUUCAGUGAAACAGGAAAAGGUGUGUGAGCCUCCUGCUUGUUCCUUCUGCGGUUUCCUCUUGACUUUGUGCUCCUGGGCUCUGAGACCGUAAGUUACAGAGAUCGUGAACUUUUGGUUACCGUGGCAACAGCCACCACGCCAACCUUCCCCAGGCCAGUUUGAGUCUUUGAGGGCCAAGGAAGGAUUUGCGUUGUCUCCUUACCGUGUGUGGUAAGGUCGAUUUCUAAUUCAGGUGCUAUUUCAAACUUUUUCGCGGAACGGCUGAGAUUGAUUUUUUUUAAAGGCCUAAUCUGGAUUUAAGGCGGAGAAACAAAAUUUGAGGCUGGCCAACUCUUUGGGAGAUGGGUCAGCAGGUAGUGGCAAUUACUGUCAAGCCGGGUGAGUUCGAUCCCCGGAUCUACACAGUUGAAGGACCCCUCUAGAUGAUUCUCUGACCUCCACGCGUGCGCCGUGGCUUCUUCCGACAAUAAACAAAGUGUAAUAUUAAAAAAAGAAAUCGUACCGGGCGGUGGUUGCGCACGCCUUUAAUCCCAGUACUUGGGAGGCAGAGGCAGGCGGAUUCCUGAGUUCGAGGCCAGCCUGUCUACAGAGUGAGUUCCAGGACAGCCAGGGCUACACAGAGAAACCCUGUCUCGGAAAAAAACAAAACAAAACACCCCC